AUUGAACGCUGGCGGCAGGCCUAACACAUGCAAGUCGAGCGGAUGAAGGGAGCUUGCUCCUGGAUUCAGCGGCGGACGGGUGAGUAAUGUCUAGGAAUCUGCCUGGUAGUGGGGGAUAACGUCAGGAAACGGGCGCUAAUACCGCAUACGUCCUGAGGGAGAAAGUGGGGGAUCUUCGGACCUCACGCUAUCAGAUGAGCCUAGGUCGGAUUAGCUAGUUGGUGGGGUAAAGGCCUACCAAGGCGACGAUCCGUAACUGGUCUGAGAGGAUGAUCAGUCACACUGCAACUGAGACACGGUCCAGACUCGUACAGGAGGCAGCAGUGGGGAAUAUUGGACAAUGGACUAAAGCCUGAUCCAGCCCUGCCGCGUGUGUGGAAAAAGGCUUCGGAUUGUAAAGCACUUUAGGUUGGGAGGAAGGGCAGUAAGUUAAUACCGUGCUGUUUUGACGUUACCAACAGAAUAAGCACCGGCUAACUUCGUG
Molecule: ribosomal RNA, 484 nt
Filed under: uncultured bacterium
Lineage: Bacteria
Description: partial 16S ribosomal RNA
Rfam family: Bacterial small subunit ribosomal RNA
Source: RNAcentral